RNAcentral lists this ribosomal RNA (253 nucleotides) under uncultured bacterium. RNAcentral's name for it is "partial 16S ribosomal RNA". It matches the Rfam family "Bacterial small subunit ribosomal RNA", at positions 524 to 776 of the family's 1533-position model. The record is from RNAcentral.
UACGGGGGGGGCAAGCGUUGUUCGGAAUUACUGGGCGUAAAGGGCUCGUAGGCGGCCAACUAAGUCAGACGUGAAAUCCCUCGGCUUAACCGGGGAACUGCAUCUGAUACUGGAUGGCUUGAGUUCGGGAGAGGGAUGCGGAAUUCCAGGUGUAGCGGUGAAAUGCGUAGAUAUCUGGAGGAACACCGGUGGCGAAGGCGGCAUCCUGGACCGGCACUGACGCUGAGGAGCGAAAGCUAGGGGAGCGAACGGG